UCGCCGUCCCCCCGUUGCUUCUAACUGCUGGUGCUCCCCGGAUCGGCGGCUUCGGCAUCUCCCACGCCGGGACCGCGAACUCCCGCAUCUGCUGCAGGUACCGCCACUGCCAGAACGCCGCCCGCACGAGGCACAUCCACUGCCGCAGCGCCUACUGCAAGAGCUCCUUCUAGAACUCGUGCGGCGCCCAGAGGAGCAUCUACUCGGGGCUCUACGCGAACUGUGGCGG
Molecule: ribosomal RNA, 229 nt
Filed under: Triticum aestivum (bread wheat)
Lineage: Eukaryota; Viridiplantae; Streptophyta; Magnoliopsida; Poales; Poaceae
Description: partial small subunit ribosomal RNA
Source: RNAcentral